Acanthosepion pharaonis is the source of this 110-nucleotide non-coding RNA. The record is from the annotation of a GenBank genome assembly. Lineage: Eukaryota; Metazoa; Mollusca; Cephalopoda; Sepiida; Sepiidae.
ACGGUGACAUCAUGUAGAAACACAUGUUCCCGUUCUACCAGAGAAAUUAAGCAACAUCGAGCUUGGUCAGUACCUAGAUGGGUGACCGUUUGGGAAAACCACGUGAUGUU